Long non-coding RNA from Paramisgurnus dabryanus, 635 nucleotides. RefSeq lists it as uncharacterized. NCBI's taxonomy places the organism in Eukaryota, Metazoa, Chordata, Actinopteri, Cypriniformes, Cobitidae. The record is from RefSeq and is a predicted model, not a curated record.
CGCAUUUAACAUCAUUAUUAACAUGUAAAUAAUAUAAUUCGUAAACAUAACGUUUAUGUUAAUUUAUAAUGUUUUUUUUUUUUAAUUGUUGGCUUUAAGUUAAUUUGUCUGUCAGACUCAGUUUGUUCGUGUUGUAGCCUGUUAACAGUAGACCAAAGGUAUGAUGAUCAAUUAUAAAUGCAAUAUGGUUGAAAGGUCAGUAAACAAACAACAAAAAGGUAAUUUCUUAAUAGAAUGUCUAUACAUUUUUUGCUUUUGUUACAUAUUUCAUACAUCAAAAUCAUUAAACGUUAAUAAUUAUGUAUUCCAACUUGUUGCAGCUUGACAAAAAUGUAGCUUGAAGGAGAAGGGACAGCUGAGUAACAAAGUCCUGGUACGCAGACGACGAUACUAUUACACUGACAAGAGUGUAAUGAUGAUGGAGACACAAGCCAGAGAAAGGGGGACCAAACACCAGGCCAGAAUUCUGCAUGAGUCAGAUCCAGUGGGUGCAGAUCAUCAUACAGAUGGUUCAAGUGUGGAUCCACCUAAUAUUCAAGAUUUUCUGUCCUGGGACACUUGGCUAACCAUCAAGAAAGAACACACUCCAGUGGGCAUCCUUUAUCCAUCCAGACCCUCAUACAGAUGGUUGGAGU